This is a small nucleolar RNA of Acomys russatus (golden spiny mouse), 132 nucleotides long. Lineage: Eukaryota; Metazoa; Chordata; Mammalia; Rodentia; Muridae. The record is from RefSeq and is a predicted model, not a curated record.
GUGCAAACUCGAUCACUAGCUCUGCAUAAUGUGGCAGAAGCUAAGGGAACCAGGUUUGCUAGAGCAAGUAUGGUGAUAGCAAUGCACCCACCUCGGAAGUUACUGAGGUGCCCAUUGUGUCCCAGGACAGUC